AUUGAACGCUGGCGGCAGGCCUAACACAUGCAAGUCGAGCGGAUGAAGGGAGCUUGCUCCUGGAUUCAGCGGCGGACGGGUGAGUAAUGCCUAGGAAUCUGCCUGGUAGUGGGGGAUAACGUCCGGAAACGGGCGCUAAUACCGCAUACGUCCGGAGGGAGAAAGUGGGGGAUCUUCGGCCCCCACGCAAUCGGUUGAGCCUGGGUGGGUUUAGCUGGUUGGUGGGGAAAGGGCCUACCAAGCGGACGACCCCUAACGGGUCUGGGAGGAUGAUCAGUUCCACUGGAACUGAGACACGGUCCAGACUCCUACGGGAGGCCGCAGUGGGGAAUAUUUGACAAUGGGCGAAAGCCUGAUCCAGCCCUGCCGCGUGUGUGAAGAAGGUCUUCGGAUUGUAAAGCACUUUAAGUUGGGAGGAAGGGCAGUAAGUUAAUACCUUGCUGUUUUGACGUUACCAACAGAAUAAGCACCGGCUAACUUCGUG
This 484-nucleotide ribosomal RNA is filed under the name uncultured bacterium. RNAcentral's name for it is "partial 16S ribosomal RNA". It matches the Rfam family "Bacterial small subunit ribosomal RNA", at positions 30 to 507 of the family's 1533-position model. The record is from RNAcentral.